RNAcentral lists this ribosomal RNA (468 nucleotides) under uncultured bacterium. RNAcentral describes it as "partial 16S ribosomal RNA". It matches the Rfam family "Bacterial small subunit ribosomal RNA", at positions 28 to 507 of the family's 1533-position model. The record is from RNAcentral.
GACGAACGCUGGCGGCGUGCUUAACACAUGCAAGUCGAACGGUGAAGCUCCAGCUUGCUGGAGUGGAUCAGUGGCGAACGGGUGAGUAACACGUGAGCAACCUGCCCCUGACUCUGGAAUAAGCGCUGGAAACGGCGUCUAAUACUGGAUACGAGAAGGGUCCGCAUGGGCACUUUCUGGAAAGUUUUUCGGUUGGGGAUGGGCUCGCUGCCUAUCAGCUUGUUGGUUAGGUAAUGGCUCACCAAGGCGACGACGGGUAGCCGGCCUGAGAGGGGGACCGGCCACACUGGGACUGAGACACGGCCCAGACUCCUACGGGAGGCAGCAGUGGGGAAUAUUGCACAAUGGGCGAAAGCCUGAUGCAGCGACGCCGCGUGAGGGAUGACGGCCUUCGGGUUGUAAACCUCUUUCAGCAGGGAAGAAGCGAAAGUGACGGUACCUGCAGAAGAAGCACCGGCUAACUACGUG